AACGAACGCUGGCGGCGCGCCUAACACAUGCAAGUCGAACGAGAAUCCGGGGCAACCCGGUAGUAAAGUGGCAAACGGGUGAGGAAUACAUGGGUAACCUACCCUUGAGAAGGGAAUAACCCGCCGAAAGGUGAGCUAAUACCCUAUACGCUAUCUUUUUUUCGAAAAGGAUAGGAAAGCCGGGUCGAGGACCUGGUACUCAAGGAGGGGCUCAUGUCCUAUCAGCUUGUUGGUGGGGUAACGGCCUACCAAGGCUACGACGGGUAGCUGGUCUGAGAGGAUGAUCAGCCACACUGGCACUGAGACACGGCCCAGACUCCUACGGGAGGCAGCAGUAGGGAAUAUUGGACAAUGGGGGAACCCUGAUCCAGCCAUGCCGCGUGAGGGAAGAAGGUCCUCUGGAUUGUAAACCUCUUUUGGCAGGAAACAAACCUGCGCUAUACGCGCAGCUGAGGGUACCUGCAGAAUAAGCACCGGCUAACUCCGUGCCAGCAGCCGCGGUAAUGCUAGCA
This 512-nucleotide ribosomal RNA is filed under the name uncultured bacterium. RNAcentral describes it as "bacterial SSU rRNA". It matches the Rfam family "Bacterial small subunit ribosomal RNA", at positions 29 to 531 of the family's 1533-position model. The record is from RNAcentral.